GGGGUUGUGGCUCAGCAGUAGAGCACUCACCUCCCACGUGGGAGACCCUGGUUCGAUCCUCAGCACCA
This 68-nucleotide transfer RNA is filed under the name Ictidomys tridecemlineatus (thirteen-lined ground squirrel). Its description in RNAcentral is "Spermophilus tridecemlineatus (thirteen-lined ground squirrel) tRNA". It matches the Rfam family "tRNA". Rfam says of the family: Transfer RNA (tRNA) molecules are approximately 80 nucleotides in length. Their secondary structure includes four short double-helical elements and three loops (D, anti-codon, and T loops). Lineage: Eukaryota; Metazoa; Chordata; Mammalia; Rodentia; Sciuridae. The record is from Rfam by way of RNAcentral.